Anguilla rostrata (American eel) is the source of this 1562-nucleotide long non-coding RNA. RefSeq lists it as uncharacterized. The transcript is spliced from 3 exons. Lineage: Eukaryota; Metazoa; Chordata; Actinopteri; Anguilliformes; Anguillidae. The record is from RefSeq and is a predicted model, not a curated record.
CGGAAAGUAAACAAAAGACGCUUGUAACACCGACACACACCUUCGGCAAAUAUACAGAAAUGUGAAAAACUUUAGCAUCCUGCAAUCACAGAUGAGUCAAUAGGAGGAAGCAAUUAAAUGAGGAGGGAAGCAUUCCGGUGAAAUGGAGCAGCUGUUCAGUUGGGUGCUACACAUUGGUACGAGUGGUUGAGACACCAGAUCUGUUCGUGAGAUGGGACCCUCCGGAUUUUACGGAUAGAAAUACGGGGGGCGGCUCGGUCUCCGAUGCCACUCUCUUCGCCAUCGAGAGCCGCGGUUUUUCCCCGGGGAAAUGAGAUUUCAUUCAUGGAUGGGCUAGAGCAACUGGAGUGGACAGCGGGUUCAUGGAGCACAUCACAAAUGUGAUAAACAAGCUAUUUUCAGUGCAAUUUCACUCGUUACACAGAAAUGAAGGAUUUACACAUUGCAGUAACUAAAAGCCCUCUUAAUAUGAAAAAAAUAUUGCCUUUAUGAAGUAUUCAUUUGUUAUUCAGGAUAAAAUCUGAGAUGGAAUGAGGGGUUGUUCAACUGAAGCCUACUACUGUUAUGUAUGACAAAACAGAAUACUUUUAGCAUUGAAUGUAGACAUGCAUUUUGAAAGGUUGGGUCUAGAAAACCAAAUAAUACUGCACUCAGAUUUGAUUGGGUGUGUAAUCACUGGAAUGAAGUAAUAAAGCUUUCUUUUUUCCUUGAUUUUCCAUUUGAGCUUGAUAAAAUGAAUUUCUCCUCUCUCUUUCUCUCUCUCUUUCUCUCUCUCAUGCGCACACACACACGCACAUUUGUUUACACAAGCAAAUGCACCUUACACUGUACACACACAUGUCCAUGCACAGAUGCAUACACACACACACACACACACACACACACACACCCUUAGCGUCUGCUUUGAGCUGGAAUGGCAAGAAAAUUUGAACAGGAUUUUUCUAUUGGACCAUUUACUUGGCAUGCUAGUGUCCUUAGAAAAUGCAUCCGCUCCACUCCCAGGUGUGUUUCAAAGAAAUUGCCAGUUAGGAAUUUUAAAAAAAUCUCUUCAGGCAUUUAAAAUGAAUUAUGAAUGAUGAUAAAACAAAGCAAAGUUCUGUCACUAUUAUUUUGCUUACUAAUCUUGUAAAAGUAAAACUGGGGCACAGACCAAACUGAAUUUUCCAUUCACCUUAAAGGGAUAACAUCCCUUGCAAUUUCAAAUUGGCAACUGAACUGAAAUGAACUGGUACCGUGCGGUGCUGUCUGGACUUAACAAAUGGGCCAAUUCGACUCUCUUUCCUUCCAGUGAGGAUCCCCCAAGUCUGUGCUUAGUGAUCAAUGAGAGCAAUCUCUUCAGUCCAACGACAUCGAAAUUUAAAUGUUUGCUGGUGCACCUGGCUUGGAUAAAUCCAAACUCCGCCACUGAAGAAAUGCACAUGCCAAUACUUUCACUACAAGGGUGGUGUAGCAAAUUUCUGAAUAUGUCAUACGAACAUAAAAGCAUGUAAUUCAGGUUCACAAAGCCUCGAUAAGGAAAUGAGUCACAUUAACUAAAGACGAUUCUUACGGAGAUUUGUAUG